RNAcentral lists this long non-coding RNA (15435 nucleotides) under Malus domestica (apple). RNAcentral's name for it is "long non-coding RNA (MDOM_LNC004160)". Lineage: Eukaryota; Viridiplantae; Streptophyta; Magnoliopsida; Rosales; Rosaceae. The record is from RNAcentral.
UUUCAAUUACAACAUAACUUUCGAAAUUGUCUUCAGUCACCACAUCUUUUCCGUCACUAAUCCGCUGUGUUUCCGUCACUCAUAUUUCCAAAACUUGCUCCGUUUUCGAAUUUCUCACAUAUAUCAAUGGGAAAUAGACAAGCAAAACAGCAAGCAUGCUGCAAUCAAUACGAAUUUCCGGCCUCUACUGCUCCAAACGUUUCACUUCCGAGUCAUAAUCAUACUCGCAAUUCGAAUAGUAACCAGGUCAAACUACCCAAUCUGUAUGGAGCUGAAGCUGCACAGACUGGAAUGGCACGAGUGCACAAGGUAGAGAUGAGAAUGGAAGACAAUGAUGGUGCAUUUUCUGACUACAUUAACCGCACGAAAUUCAAGAUCAGUGCUACGACCUCCAAUGCUGGUAUCGAGAAGGCUGCAUCCGCAGCAGAUGGUGUUUAUGAAACAAAGCAAGAAGAUGAUGAAUAUCAUAUGUUUACGGAUUUUGUUAAUCGCUCUAAGUCUAAGAUUAAAAAGACCUUCAGCAUCGGAAGCAGAAACAACAUCUCCUUUAAGAAGUAGGAGACUCAAAGUCUACAACCAUAUGCGCGGCGUGGUGAUUGCCGGCAUGUUCACGGAUUGUGUUCUUUCUCUCUAUCUCCCUUUUUAAUUAUUUCUCAUAUUUUACAUGUUAUGUGAUGUUGUCCAAUUGUCCUGUAUGUUUUAUGAGUCAAUAAUGUUAAAUUAUUCAUGUGUUUCUAAAGCCAAUGUGCUAUUAUAAAUAUGCUCUUUUCGAGCAAUCUUUGAGAAUGUAUGUAACGAUGAUGUUUGAAUGAAGAAAUAUCUUAUCGAUUUACGCACAUAAUUAGGGAUCUUUAAUAUGCAUAUAAAUCAUGUGAUUCAGGAAAAUGUGACUUCCUAAAAAGUGUGGCUUCUAUGCAUUGCAGCAAGCUUCAGACACGUAGUUUUUCUCCAAAUUCUGGACAAUUGGCAUAUGAUCUUCACCUCUUCAAGGAUAAAUUUUUCAUUGUGAUUGGAACAAUCUCUUGAGAUAGAGGCUACAAUUUAAAAGGCGAGACUCCUCUGCAUCUCUAUUUUGGAUAUGGAUUGUCUGCUCCCCUUCCCAUACCCUCUCCAUGCCCUCCUAUUUCUGUGGUCACGGUUAAGCCACGUCAACAUUUUAUAUUCCAACUGCUUUUUGUAUUAUUAUUUUUAUAAAAAAAUCAAUAUAAAAUGUUGACGUGACUUAACCGUGACCACAUAAUAUAGGAGGGCAUGGAAAAGGUAUGAGAUGGGGAAGACAGAUCCAAGUCCCUCUAUUUUUGUACGCGCAAAUUGGACCGAGAUAAUAGAAACUAAAUCUAACCUAAACUACAUAUAUAGGGUUGAUUCCAUCGAGGCAAUAAAACAUCUAAAUAAUAUUCUACUUUAUACGCAGUUGCUGGAUAUCCCACUUUUAUGAAGAAUUUAUGGGCUAGGAAUAUGAUUCCCAUACAUCAGUUCAUAUGUAUUUUUCAGUUUUCGAGCAAGGAUCGCAAGGACAUGCUCUCGAGAUUUCUCAUUAGUUCAUCUCCUAACCUUAUUAGUAGUUUGGCAUUGUUAACAGCGCCGGUCCAGAAAUUUUUGAGGUCCGAAACGACAUAAAAAAAAGUGCCCUAACUUCAUGUAAGAAAAUUAUACUUAGAAAAAUACUUCAAACUCAAUAAUUUAGAAACACAGAAAGACUAAUUUAUUUUGUAUUGAGAGAGGGAAACAAAAAAACUUCGGGCUUACAAGUAGAUAGAUGAUGAAUUUUGUUUUCCAUUUGAACCUUGAAUGUGUUUUUUAAUAAAUCGUGAGAUGUUUUUUUCUUAUUUACUAACCUUGUCAAUAUGGGACUAAAAAAUAAUGAUGUUUUCGAGUCUUUAAUUGAUAUGUAUUUGUAGACAUCGAAAUUUCGGUAAAUAAAUGUUGACCGAUAAAUCAAAGUGUCAACGCUCAUGUAUUACAUAAAUUUUACACGUAGCGUGUGACUCAACGAAAAUUGAAAUAAGUUGGAAAAGUCAUCAAAUAGGAUACGUGUCAACACCUGGCAGAAACGACUUAUUUCAUCUGGAAUAUUAUAUUCAAAAUUAGGCCUUGGAAAAUUCUAUAAAUACAAGCCCAUUUCAUUCAUUUGAAGAACCAAUUCAUAUUACACCUUGAAGCUUUGAAGCUCUGAAACUCCGAAGCUCUCAAGCAUCCAGGUUCCCGAAGAAUCAAGAAAGCUCUCUUCGUUCUUCGUUCAUCGUUCAUCCAAGAUCAAGCCCCAACGGCCCUUUGGAUCAACAAUCAUCCACCAAUUCAAGAUCAAGCCCCGACGGCCCUUGAAGAAAGCACCAUCGUUCAUCAUCCGUUCAUCCAAGAUCAAGCCCCAACGGCCCUUUGGAUCAACAACGUCGACAAAUCCACACACAUCCAACCGUUCUUCAAGAUUAAGCCCAAAAGCCCUUGAAGAUCUGUUCAUCACUGUUUCUUCAAGAUCAAGCCCAAAAGCCCUUGAAGAUCCGCUCAUCACCGUUAUUCAAGAUCAAGCCUCAAACGGCCCUUGAAGAAACAUUCAUCCUCAAAAUCAAGCCCCAACGGCUCCUUGAAGAUCCGCUCAAAUCCACCUUCAAAGAUCAAGCCCACGGCCUUUUGAAGAAACUUCCAAACAGUUCAUCCAAGAUCAAGCCCCGACGGCCCUUGGAUCAACGAAACAUCCAUAAAUCAACACCUUAUGGAGAUCGAAUCAGAGGAUCAAAUUUGAGAGAGAUUGUAACCCAAAAAUCAUCAAAUCCAAAUAUUUGUUUGUGCACGUUGUUCUUGUCUCAUUCGUUUCAGGAAUUUUCCGUGUUCACAAAUUGGCACGCCCGGUGGGAUAAUCUCUACCUCUCAUCUCUUUCUCCGUUCAAGAAAUUCGAGCACACUUCCAAAAUUAAUGGCUUCAAGGAAGGCUCAAACUGUUCCUGCAACUGGCGCAAAGAACAAGAGCGCCCUCGUUGCAACUAGUGUCACUUUGGGCAUCACGACUCGAAGCAUGGCAAGAGCUACUUCUGCCGCCUCUUUCACCUCUGCAUCAACUCUGCCAAGGGAACAAAAGCACCCAAGGCAUGAGCCUUUGAUCACCUUAGCCUCACUAAGGGCACCAAGGGGGGAAAGCCCAAGGAAAUACUUCGAAUCCAUGCUCUCCGAUGCCGAUUCAAGCAACAGUUCAGCCAUGCAAGUCAUGACCAUUGGAGCAACUUCAAUCGAUGAGCAGCUGGCUCAAAUGAAUGAAGCAAUCGCAAGGCUAACCCGAACUGUGGAAGAAAGACUUGCAAAUUGCAGCACUAGUCAACCGACUGGAGGCGCAGGACGGCGAUAAACCCGACCUAGAGGAUGAUCCAUUAAAGGGAGGAGCUGGCGGAGACGAAGAACCCCCGGUGAAGAAAAUCGAUGGGAAGCCGGAGCCAGACCAAGCAGUGGCACUCAUGGGAUCUCUCUCUAUCCAGCAGCUGCAGGAGAUGAUCACUAACACCAUCAAGGCACAGUACGAAGGGAGCUCACAUACCUCCUUGUUCUACUCGAAGCCCUAUUCCAAGAAGAUUGAUGCCCUAAGGAUGCCAAGGGGUUAUCAACCACCAAAGUUCAUGCAGUUUGAUGGAAAAGGAAACCCAAAGCAGCACGUUGCACAUUUCGUCGAAACUUGCAACAACGCGGGGACGGAUGGAGACUACCUCGCCAAGCAGUUUGUGCGCUCGCUGAAAGGAAAUGCCUUUGAGUGGUACACGGACCUAGAGCCUGAGUCCAUCAACAGCUGGGAGCAAUUAGAGCGGGAAUUCCUCAACCGCUUCUACAGCACCCGCCGCACUGUGAGCAUGCUAGAGCUAACGAGCACAAAGCAGUGGAAGGACGAGCCAGUCAUUGACUACAUCAACAGGUGGCGCACUCUGAGCCUUGACUGUAAAGAUAGGCUCUCGGAAACCUCUUCAAUCGAGAUGUGCAUCCAAGGCAUGCAAUGGGGUUUGCAAUACAUCCUUCAAGGCAUCAAACCACGGACCUUCGAAGAGCUAGCCACCGCGCGCCAUGACAUGGAGUUGAGCAUCGCCCAUCAUGGGAAGAAAGAACCGAUCACCGACUACAAGAACGACAAAGUUCUUGGGACAAAGGGGGAAAAGGCUGCAUGGAAACCCACCAAGGAAGCGAUGACGGUCAACACAGCUCCCGUCAAAAUAUCCACACGAGGCAAGGCGAUUCAAACCGAAGCUUUUCGUGAUCAAGAGAUGCGUAGACGCACUUUGAAAGAGCUUGAGGAGAAGACUUAUCCAUUCCCCGACUCUGAUGUGGUUGCCAUGCUGGAUGACCUGUUGGACAAGAAGGUGAUCAGUUUGCCUGAGUGCAGACGGCCGGAAGAGAUGAAUCGUACCGACAGCCCAAGAUACUGUAAAUUCCACCGCUUCAUCAGUCAUCCGACAGAAAAAUGUUUCGUGCUGAAAGAUCUCAUCAUGAAGCUGGCUCAGAAAGGAAUCAUCGAGCUAGAUCUUGACGAAGUGGCGAAGUCAAACUAUACCACCUUCACUUCUGGCUCUUCCGACUCAAAGUUUUCACCUCAAUCGCUGGGGGCAUCGUCCAAGACAAGCAAAAUUGAAGGAUGGACUCAAGUCACUCCUAAGAAAUUGCACAAGAAGCAUACGUCUCCUCCACAAGUCCACCAAUCAGAAAGGGGGCAAAGCAGCUCUUGUCAACCUUCAAAGCAACAUGAACGUGUUGAAGAUGAUGAAACUUCGACACAAAGAUCGUCCGUCCCCAUCACGAUGCGCGACUUCUUGCCCGAAGACUUCUUCAAUCACGUGGUCAAAGCUCCUUGCUAUGAAAAUUGUGAGGAACGCCUCUCCCGGAUUGCUUGACAAAAUUCAUAAAUGCUCCUCGCCUGCACGAGCCUAAACUGCAUGGCACAAUGCUCCUUGUUCGCACGAGCCUAAACUGCAAGACACAAAGCUCCUUGUCUGUAAGAGCCUAAACUGCAAGACACAAUGCUCCUUGUUCGCACGAGCCUAAACUGCACGAACCAAAGCUCAUUGUCCGCACGAGCCUAAACUGUAGGACACGAGGCUCCUCGCCUGCACGAGCCUAAACUACAUGGCCCAACGCUCCCGAUCCGCAAGAGCAUAAAAGGCGACAUCAACGCUCCUGAUCCGCACGAGCAUAAAAGGCAACACCAAAUGCUCCUUGUCUGCACGAGUUGAAACUGCAUACGAUACCAAAAGCUCCUUGUCUGCACGAGUUGAAACUGCAAACGACACCAAAUGCUCCUUGUCUGCACGAGUUGAAACUGCAAACGACACCAAAUGCUCUUUGUCUGCACGAGUUGAAACUGCAAACGACACCAACACUCCUUGCCUGCAUGAGUUCGGCACAAAAAAAAAUACCAUAAAUAUGUAUGUAUUUUGAACUACGUUACGACUUGAUCUCUUUUUUUGGAGGGGUACGUAGGCAGCUCGAAUAUUCAAAAUUUGAGUUCAGUCACACCAGAAUAAAGAUUUUUAUUAAAAGUUUGAUGCUAUUACAAUUUCUUUGUACAAAAAAAAAGGAAAAAAAAAAAAAAAGAAAAAGAGAAAAAGAGAUACAUGUUUUAUGUAUUUACAAAAAAAAAAAGAAAAAAAAAAAAACAUAUGUUUUAUGUAUUAUUAAAAUAUAUAUAUAUAUAUAUAUAUAUAUAUAAAGGGCCUCAGAAGUAGCCCGUGUCCAAAUCCAAUCUAGGCCCAAGCCCAACUUACCUCUUUUCCGUUUUUGAUCCUUCUCUCUCUCUCUCUCUCUCUCUCAAAUCAAUCUCAAUUAAACAAUACCAUUUUCAAGUCGGACACCACACAGACGCAGCUGAACAAAGUCGGUGGGGAGGAGAGAGAAACCAGAUAGAGAGAGAAAGCGGAAGCGGAAGCUCACAGGAGAAAACCCGAAGCCAACCACGCCCGCUGGGGCUCAGAGCGACCGCCGCUGAUCCAAUCGCCACCUCAGAUUCCGGCAGCUCCUCUGUCCGCAUUAUCGCUGGAAUGGCAGAUUCCCAUCUCCUCGACGCUCACGGGGGUUGAAAUGAACGAGAUGCAGAUCGGCAAAGCUCACGACGCGGACAAGGCUUUCCCUGGAUGCUUGGGAAGAAUGGUGAACCUCUUUGAUUUGGGUAAUGGGGUUUCUGGAAACAAGCUGCUCACUGAUAAACCGCACCGUGAUGGCUCUUCACUCUCAAGGAGUCAAUCGGAUGGCGGCCCACGGCCCGGCCUUCUGCGACAUAACCUGGGGUGCCGGUGGCUCCACGACGGAUCUGACGCUGGACAUUGCCAACAAGAUGCAGAACCUCAUCUGUUUGGAGACCAUGAUGCACCUCACCUGCACACCCAUCACCGUUCAUCCAUCGUUGACCAAAUCAACCAGGCGUGUCGAAAGUUCGGUUUCUUCCAGGUCACAAAUCACGGAAUCCCGUUGGCAGCUCUGGACCGUACGAUCUCAGCCAUCAAGGCCUUUCACGAGCAGCCGGCGGAGGUCAAAACACGGGUCUACCGUAGGGAUAUGGUGACGGGCGUAAAUUAUGCCUACAACUUCGACCUCUACAGCUCAAAAGCCGCCAGCUGGAGGGACACGCUAGCAGUUAGGUUGGGUCCCACGCCGGCGAAUCCUCUAGGGGUGCCUGAGAUCUGUCGGGAUGCGGUUGCUGAGUGGGAUCAGGAACAAAUCUUGAAUGACAACCAGCCUGAUAUGGAUGAUUGCGAGGGCUGUGAAAAUCAAGAUGAGGAACCGGUUGCAAUGGUUAAAGAGUCACCUUCAGGGGAUGAAGCUGCAAACAGCAAUGACUCAGACUGGGGAAUGGAUUGUUCUACAGUUGUGAGAGUUAAAACAUUGCACAUUAGCUCUCCAAUUUUGGCAUCCAAAAUUGUCCCUUCUUUCUCUGCUCAACAAGAACUCAGCAGUCAUUCACUCAGCGUCCUGGAUGUUUGACUAGCCUCGCUACUCGCCGAGUCGUCGUCCCGAUCCGACCCAAAGCCUACACCGACUGCGCUAACGUAUGCCCCUGCGGUUGCUGCGCCACGACGUCGUCUUCCUCGUCUUCUUCUUCGUCCUCUCGCUUCCCCCGCCGGCGACGGCGUCCGAGUCUCCAAGAUUCUCGAGAGCGAGCCGUCUUUUCGGCGGUCCCGGUCGGUUGCGGUCCCUUUUCUGCGCUCCACGUCGAAGUUUCUCGGCGGCGCUUUUAGACACGCGGACUUUGACUUCGCCGGUGACAGGAGUGAGCCCCAGAGCGGCGGACGGACUAAAACACCGUCGUUUUGGUCGUCGGUAUUCCGGUCGUCUCACAGGAGUAAGACAAGCGAGGUUAAUAAUGGAGAACACGAGACGACGGCGGAGAAGAAAGCCGAGGGCGAAAUCCAAGAGGAGGAAGAAGACGCAGAUGCUGCGAUGAGAAGGAAGAUGAUGAGAAAAUCGAGGUCGGUGGCCGUGCCGAUGAUGUCUUCAAAAGCUGGUGACAAUGUGAGGGUUCUGCUCACUGCUAUGUUCCAUGAUGUGUGCAGCUGACCCUCGCCAUGGUCGGUAUUUGACUGCCUCAGCCAUGUUCAGGGGUAAAAUGAGCACAAAGGAAGUUGAUCAGCAGAUGAUCAAUGUCCAGAACAAGAACUCUUCUUACUUUGUGGAAUGGAUUCCCAACAAUGUCAAGUCUACUGUAUGUGACAUCCCUCCCGACAACGGCACAUCUACCCCGGAGCCUCAAUCCAUUGCUUCGCACGCUAACCCUGCUCUCUCUCCAGCAACAUCUCUUUCUGCACCACCGUCAUCUGCUCCUGCCUGGUUUCGGUGAUAGUCAACAACAACGGCAGAGAAAGCAGAGGGGCUCGGAAUCAACCAUCUCAUCGUCCACAUCGGUCUUGUCCUGGAGCUCCUGGACAAUCAGCUCCGAAGUCGUCAGAGGCCGCUGUUGCGUCGUGUGUGAAAGCUAUGCCUUCGUAUCCUCGCCCAGCGCUGCAUCUCCUCCGUCUCUUGCCUCGCAACUGCCAGCAACUUCAAAGACCGCUGUCAAACGACUAGCCGGCCGAGAAGCUCUUCCUCAAGCUCCAGCUCUAAGUUCCUCCUUGCUCCGCUCCCUACAAAUCCCUCCGCCAAGCACCCUAAUUUAUACAAAAAGAAAGACAAUUAAAAAAAAAAAAAAAAAAAAAAAAAAAAAAAAAAAAAAAAAAAAAAAGGUGGUGGUGCAUCUGGCACCACGUGACAAAAGAGGAAUGGUGGAUCAAAGAUGGGGUACAGCCCCAUGGCAGAUCAAAAGUUUCUGGUGGUGCAUGGGCACCAUGUGCAGAAAGAAAAAAAUAAAUAAAUAAAAUAAUUGUAAAAAAUAAUAAAAUAAUUAAAAAUAAUUAGAAAAAAAAAAAAAAAACGAUGGAACUUGGUGCAUCCAGCACCAAAAGAAAAAGAAAAAAAAAAAUGCAUAGAGAGAAAUAGAAGGUUCAUUUUAUUUAUUUUUCUGAAAAUUAUACAUAAAUUUGCAUUAUACAUAAAUUAAAAAAAAAAAAAAAAAAAAAAUCAAAUCAAAUCAAAUUUACAAGAGGGGAUAUUCAAGGACGAUCAGGUGCCGCCUCACAACUCGGCGGAGCUCCAGGAAGAGAAGGCGUCGGAGGUUGGCUGUUUGAAGCCUCAGCAGUCGGUACAGCCCCAGAAGACGAAGGUAAAUGCUGCUGGAACAAACCCACAAACCUCCGAUGAUCAAGUAAAAUCUGACCAUCAGAUUCCUGCAUCUGGUCAAUUUUCCUCUUCAUGUUUGUGGCAUAGUUGUGUGCAAGCUUGUGCAACUGUUUAUUCUCAUGCUUGAGCCCUCUGAUCUCCUGUUUGAGACUCAUCACUUCAGCCACCAACGAUUCAACUUGACGGGUUCGAGCAAAUAGGCGUUGGGCCAUGUUGGACACAGAACCCGCACACUGCACACUAAGAGCCAGGGACUCCUUAACAGCCAACUCAUCAGACCGCCUGGAAAGUAGUCUGUUAUCUUUGGGAGUGACAAGGUUCCGGGCCACCACCGCAGCGGUCAUAUCAUUCUUCAUCACCGAAUCCCCAACGGUAAGAGGACCAGUAGGGGAUAUGAAUGAUGGGCGCCAUAUGUUGUCUGGAGAAGGCGGGACUGCCUCUUCACCAAGAUUCAAGUCAAAACGACGGUCGGAGGGUCCAGACAUUUUCAAAGUGUUGAAGGAAGAAGAGAUCGGACAAAUCAAGAUCUUAGAAGUGCAAGAGGGGAGUUUUCACAAGCGAAAAUUCAAGUGUGCUUUGAAACGAACUGCAUGCCUCUAUAAAAAAUCAGCACUCGACGGGAUUUCAGAGAUCGAAGAGGCGAGCUCAGAAUUCGAAGAGGCCAUUCAAAAAUCGAAGAGGCAAGCUCAGAAAUCGGAGAAGCAUCUUGCUUUUCCAGACGCGUCAACACCCGUCACACGCAAACUCAGCUUUGCGGAAAUCACGGGCAAUUUGUUAAAGCACCAAUCCCAGAUAUCGAAGAGGCGCCAGUCUUUUCAGCCUCGUCAUCACCUGUCAUAUGCACACUCAACUUUGCGCAAAUCACGGGCAAUUUGUCGAAGAUUUUAGGUGAAGGAGAAAGCACGUGAAAGUUUACUGUUCAAUCAUCCAACGGUUGCCGACACGAGUGAAAGAAUAAUACCUCUACAGGCGUUAAAGAACUUCCUAUAACUGUCCACCUUCACCUUCCAUAGCAAGGCAGACAUACAGAGCCUUUCUUCAUCUCCAAAAAUGCUUUCCCAACGAAGCCUCUCGAGUCACUUAGUGUUCCUUAUUCCUUGGGGUACCUCUGUAAGCCAAUAACUUCAAAGCAAAAGUAUCUCAUAUCACCAGGGUAGAAAGCAAGAGUAUCUCAUAUCAUGCGUUCUCCCUGUCGUUUCCUUUGUCCUUGCUCCUACCUACAAAGACAAGGAUAAAGAAAAUAAUAUAUGCCGGAACUUCCACUCAAACUCGGGUAAGGAACCGACUGCUUGGAACCCUUCCCUGAUUGCCUACCUAGCACUGCUCUCGAGUACUCGCCUUCCACUGCUGCUGUACUUUCAAAGAAGCUGCCACAUCUGCCUGGAGGACAGAUAAGGCAAGUGAAAAUGAUACCUUGCAGCAUGUGGAGACAAGGUGCAGAAGGAACAAGCAGAGAGAGGAAUGCGGUCUGCACGGUCAACUCAGCAGAAGGAGUCCGAACUGAGGAACUCAAGAAGCUGCCACAUCUGCCUGAAGAAACAAGCAGAGAAGAAUGCAGCAUGCACAGUCAACUCAGCAGAAAGAGUCUGAGAUGAAGAACUCGAGAAGAUGCCGCAUCUGCCUGAGGACGGUGAACUCGUUUUGACCCUCAAAUUCUUGGGUCGACUUACUAGGCGUUGUGGGCUGCACGUGCUGAUUCACCACCCUUGAAUCAAAUCCUUAAAGAUCAAGUCACCAACUGGAAUAAAAGCCCAUCAAUCUUGAAGAUCAUACCAUUGACCAAACUGCUCAGGUGUGAAUUAGAAAGAUUGAACAAAGAAACAGGUCGUCACCUUUACCUCAUGCCUGCUUGCCAUGUGUUCGAGUCAGCCUUCAAGAAUCAAGCCCCAACGGCCCUUGAAGAAGCUUCCAGCCGAAUUCAAAAUCAAGCCUCGACGGCCCUGGAAGAAAUCACAAGUCUGAUUCAAGAUCAAGUGUCUACCACCCUUGAAUCAAAACCUAGUUCAAGAAUAAGCUGUGGAAAGUCAACAAGCGCAACAAAAUACGUGCCGAUUCAUCCACUACCAAAGCCAAAGAUCAUCUACCACAUGAAGCUCCUUGUGGCCCAAUUUCAACCUUCAAGAUCAAGUCUCGACGACCCUUGAAGAAAUUUCAAACAAAAGUUCAAGAACAAGCCUCAACAGCCCUUAAAGAAAUCUCAAGCCCAAUUCAAGAUCAAGCCUCGACGGCCCUUGAAGAAAUCUCCAGCCCAAUUCAAGAUCAAGCCUCAACGGCCCUUGGAUCGACAUCUACAGUAAGGGACUUCAAAACGCAUCUCCUACACAUGACAAUCACAUGUAUACGACGCGCCUUGAAGUGGGGGCAUUUGUAGACAUCGAAAUUUCGGUAAAUAAAUGUUGACCGAUAAAUCAAAGUGUCAACGCUCAUGUAUUACAUAAAUUUUACACGUAGCGUGUGACUCAACGAAAAUUGAAAUAAGUUGGAAAAGUCAUCAAAUAGGAUACGUGUCAACACCUGGCAGAAACGACUUAUUUCAUCUGGAAUAUUAUAUUCAAAAUUAGGCCUUGGAAAAUUCUAUAAAUACAAGCCCAUUUCAUUCAUUUGAAGAACCAAUUCAUAUUACACCUUGAAGCUUUGAAGCUCUGAAACUCCGAAGCUCUCAAGCAUCCAGGUUCCCGAAGAAUCAAGAAAGCUCUCUUCGUUCUUCGUUCAUCGUUCAUCCAAGAUCAAGCCCCAACGGCCCUUUGGAUCAACAAUCAUCCACCAAUUCAAGAUCAAGCCCCGACGGCCCUUGAAGAAAGCACCAUCGUUCAUCAUCCGUUCAUCCAAGAUCAAGCCCCAACGGCCCUUUGGAUCAACAACGUCGACAAAUCCACACACAUCCAACCGUUCUUCAAGAUUAAGCCCAAAAGCCCUUGAAGAUCUGUUCAUCACUGUUUCUUCAAGAUCAAGCCCAAAAGCCCUUGAAGAUCCGCUCAUCACCGUUAUUCAAGAUCAAGCCUCAAACGGCCCUUGAAGAAACAUUCAUCCUCAAAAUCAAGCCCCAACGGCUCCUUGAAGAUCCGCUCAAAUCCACCUUCAAAGAUCAAGCCCACGGCCUUUUGAAGAAACUUCCAAACAGUUCAUCCAAGAUCAAGCCCCGACGGCCCUUGGAUCAACGAAACAUCCAUAAAUCAACACCUUAUGGAGAUCGAAUCAGAGGAUCAAAUUUGAGAGAGAUUGUAACCCAAAAAUCAUCAAAUACAAAUAUUUGUUUGUGCACGUUGUUCUUGUCUCAUUCGUUUCAGGAAUUUUCCGUGUUCACAGUAUUAUUAAUGAAUGGGCAUUAAAUUUGGUCUACGUAUUAUUCUUUGUUGAAGAUUAGACUUGAAUUAAAACGAAUAAUUAAAAAUAACAACCCACAUAGCUACUAGAUAGUAACUAAAAAUAAAUUAACAACCAAACAAAAUUUGUAAAAAUUGAAAAAAAUAAACAUGCACAUAGCAUUUCAAACUUAGGACCUCUUGUUAAUUUUAAACAACAAAAAUCAUUGUUUCUAAUUAAACUUCUUGAUCCUUUAACCAAAUUUUAUAAAUUUAUACUCUUAUAAAAAGAAAUUUGUAAAAAAUGGAAAGUAAAUAAGCACACAUGGUGUUUUAAACCCAAGACCUCCUCAUUAUUUUCAAAUGACAAACCACCACUUCUAGUUAAAUUUCUAUGUCUUUGAACCAAAUUUUAUAAAUUUAUACUCUUAUAAAAAUAUAUAUAAAUAUACCACCCUAAUAAUUUUGGUGCCCCUAAUUUUUUUGGGCCUUGGACGGUUGUCCUGCCUGCACUGGGCUUGGGCCGGCUCUGAUUGUUAACUACAUUGCAAUGUUUGAGAAUUGAAAGGAAAAUCAAGAAGAAAUGAUGAACAGAAGGAUGACCACAUAGAUAUUACAGAUAGAGAGAGUUUAGAGAGAGAAAUAAGAUUUGUAUUAACUAACCAAGGAAGAUUACACAAUUCUGUUUUUAUAAAAGAAAGUCUAACAACUCUAACCAAAUAUUAACAAACUUACUAACUGUAUUGUUGACUUGUACCCUUAAUAGGUAUAUUGUUUUCCUGCUGAUGCAUUCGGGAGAAGCCGUUAGAGUUUUAGCAUGUAGCAACUAGCAUGGAAGAAAAAGUUCAAAAAAAAAAAAAGAAUUUUACUGGAGAAUGAUGUAUAAAUAGGUUUUAUGAUGAUUUUGUUAGAGACUUGCAAAACAACUGGAAGUCGUGAGUGUUAGCUCACAUAUUUUCAAAAUAUGAUGAUUGAGUUUUUGCAAAAGUUUAGUGUUGCGAAAAUGCCACGAAAAUUACAAUGGUGUAUGCAGAAUUUUGCUAAACCAAUUAGAAACACUUACUGAUUUUGAGAAAAAUGAAACUUGUUGAACUUUUGCAUGCAUGAAAAAUGUAACAAACCAUGUGAUUAAUGAAAUAACCCAAAAAUUUUAUUUUUAUUUUUAUUAUUUUUUAUCGAUUUCAAAUUAGAAAAAAGGAAAAUCAAAUAAAAAUAAUAGCGGGGCCCUUUACAAGCCACAGAGGAAUUCCGUCAGCUUUAGCAUCUAGAAUUUCACAAAAGUAAUUAAAAAUCUGACUAUUUUUAUACAUAUUUUGUGAGAAUGUUGCUAUGCUUACUCCAUCGUCUUAUUUCCUCACCAACUUUGUUUUUCACCCACCAGAAAAAAGUUGAAAGAAGAACACUAUUUUCACACGUACCAUCAUACCUAAAAUACCCUAAUGUGAUACCAGCGCUUGACACCUCAACUCCGCUGCAGUGCUGCACCGAUUCCCAACGCCCAACCCAAGCCCACAACAAUCAUAGCACCACCAUGGCAACAAAACUCCUCACCUCCACCCAUUUUCAAGUUCCCUGCAUAGUCUGGGUGUUUGAAUUUUCUCUGGAUUUCAAGGAUUGCAAUGGAAUUCAAUGAGUGGAUUAUAUAUUUUAAAAAUUUAGAAAGAGGGGAAAUGAGAGAGAAGGGAGAUGAAGCUAAAGAUGAGGUUGGGGUCGGGAUCAGAGGCAAAUAAGGGGAUAACUUGGCGAAGCUAGAGAUGAGGUUUUUAAGGUCCUUUUAAGCCAUUUUGCAACAGGAUAACUUGGUAAAUAAAAAUAUUAUUUAACAGUGGGUGAGGAGAUAAGAUAGAGGGGUGGGAAUAACAACACUUUUUGCGAAAGGUAGAAAUAACGUUAUAAAGUUUUGAAAUCUUUUCGAAGAAAUGUUUUUAGUAAAAUCAAGUUGGAGAAUGCCUAUUUUCAUUUGACAAUUUUUCUUGUGUUAUUUUGCGGAUGAAUACAUUGAAUAGGUUGGUUGUUUCCCACACAAAUCCAUGAUGCUUGUUUUAGAUUUUGAACUAUAAAAACAAUGGAUUAUUAUUUUUUGUGUUAGGAAUAUUUUUUAAGGUGUCGCCAAUUUGGAAGAGGUAGGGUUUCUGUCUGUGCCAAAGUUUCACUCUUCAACCUGAUUAUUCCAAGUACCAUCCUAGAUUCUUUAUGUUUUCUGCCUAAACUUUUCAUUGCGUUUGGAAGCUAAUUAAUUAAUUAAGCUUUGAUAUGAUGUUAAUAAAUAGCUGGCCAGCAGAUUACAUAAUCCUUUCAAUUUCUAGUGGUUUAGUGCUGUAUUAGUUGUGUUUAAAGCACUAUUUAAUUUCAAAACCGAAGAAAAUUGGAGCUGAUAACGUGGGAAUAUUUUCCCAACAUCACACCCUUUAGAAAAAAAUUUGAGAAAGUUCCUUCAUUAGGAAUCUAGACCAAACUGGCCUCUCCCUUCAUUUCUGCAGAAAAAAACAAUUACUUGCCACACAAGGAACUUUGUCCUUAAAUUUUCGUUCACGCAGACUAUAAAUAUCGACCACUCUAUCUUUCAGUUACAACGUAACCUUAGAAAUUGUCUUAGUCACCACAUCUUUUUCUUCAGUAAUCCGUUGUUUUUCUGUAGUUCCGUCACUCAUAUUUCCAAAAUUUGCUUCCUUUUCGAAUUUCUUACAUAUAUCAAUGGGAAAUUGUCAAUCAAAAUGGCAAGCACGCCGCAAGCAAUACGAAUUUCCGGCCUCUACUGCUCCAAAUGCUUCACUUCCAAGCCAUGAUCAUACUCGCAAUUCGAAUAGCAACCAGGUCAAACUACCCAAUGUGUCUGGAGCUGAAGCUGCAGAGACUGGAAUGGCACGAGGGCACAAGGUACAGAUGAGAAUGGAAGACAAUGAUGAUGCAUUUUCUGACUUCAUUAACCGCACAAAAUUGAAGAACAGAGCUACAACCUCGAAUGCUGGUAUUGAAAAGGCUGCAUCCGCAGCAGAUGGUGUUUAUGAAACAAAGCAAGAAGAUAAUGCAUAUGAUAUGUUUACGGAUUUUGUUAAUCGCUCUAAGUCUAAGAUUAGAAAGACGUUCAGCAUCAGAAGCAACACCUCCUUUAAGAAGUAGGAGACUCAAAGUCUACAACCAUAUGCAUGGUGGUGAUUGCUGGCAUGUUCACGCGGGGAUUGUGUGCUUUCUCUCUAUCUCCCUUUUUAAUUUUUUCUCAUAUUUACGUCCUGGAUACACAGGUUAUAUGAUGUUGUCGAAUUGUCCUGUAUGCAUUUCUGAGUCAAUAAUAAAUUAUAUCAUUCUUCUUUCAUGUGUUUCUAAAGCCCAUGUACUAUUAUAAAUCUGCUCUUUUCGAGCAAUGUUAGCGAAUGUAUGAAACGGUGAUGUUAAAAUCAAGAAAGAUCCCAUCCCACAUAUUUAGGGAUCUUUAUUGUGCAUAUAAAUCAUGUGAUCCAGG